GCCAAAAUGGCUGGUGCUAUGUAGAAAAGGAUUAGUCCAUUUUCUAAGUCCUCAUUGAGAGAUGAUUUAAAAAUGGUUUUCCUUAAGAAUCAGAACACAUGUCCAGCCCUCAUUAAUAUUUAUCCCAUAGUAAUGAGUUAACCCCAGCCUUAUAAAUCCUGAAUUCAAGUGGUUUGUUUAUAUUUUGGAGCAAGAUCAAUUAAAAGAAAUAUAAAAGUUUUCAAGAAUCACUAGUUGGUUACAUCACGAAUCCCAAGAGGCUGAUCCUGAAAAAUGAUUAGGGAAAUAAAAUAUUGAAUUUACACUCUUGCUAUAUCCCCAGUCCUUUUUUAUUUUUUAUUUUGAGAUAGGGUCUAAGUUGAUUAGGGCCUCGUUAAGUUGCUGAGGCUGACCUUGUACUUGUGAUCCUCUUGCCUCCCCAGCUGCUGGAAUUAUAGGUAUGCACCAUCAAUUUUGGCUUACCUUUUUUUAAAAAAAAAAAUCACUUUAGGGCCUGAGAGUAUAGCUCAUUGAUUAGCAUGCACAGGGCCCUGUUUCAAUCCCCAGUGCUGGAAAAGCCACCACCAAAACCAAACUUCAUUAGUGAGGUAUUAUUGAUGAACAAUAAACUGCACACAUUUAAAGUAUACAUUUUGGCAAGUUUGGCAUAACCCAAUCAGCAUAUCCAUUAUACUAGCCAGUAUAUUCUUGGUAUGUAUAUAAAAUACAAGGAAAUGAUUACGUGGCUUUUCAAAUACACAUAUCCUAAUCUCAUUUAGUUGCUUUUUUGUUGCUUGCUCUAUUGAGUGCAGUCAGUUGUUGAACAACUUUGGGAAUUUAGUUCUAAUAGAAAUUGUCUUUAAAUAAAGGUGCAAAAAAAAAUAAAAAAUAAAGGUGCAAGACAGUUCAAUGAGGAAAGAAUAGACUUCAACAAGUGGCUUUGGGGGCUGGGGUUGUGGCUCAGUGGUAGAGUGAUCACCUAGCAUGUGCGAGGCCCUUGGUUCAAUCCUCAGCACCACAUAAAAAUAAAUAAGUAAAAUAAAGGUACUGUGUCCAACUACAACUAAAAAAGAAAUAUAAAAAAAAGUGUCAUUGGACCACUGAAUAUUCAUAUGCAAAAUAAUGAAGUUGGACUCCUACUUACUGCCACAUAAAAAAUUUAACUCAAAACAGAUUAAAG
This 1159-nucleotide long non-coding RNA is filed under the name Marmota monax (woodchuck). The record is from RNAcentral. Lineage: Eukaryota; Metazoa; Chordata; Mammalia; Rodentia; Sciuridae.